GAUGAACGCUGGCGGCGUGCCUAAUACAUGCAAGUCGAGCGAACAGACGAGGAGCUUGCUCCUCUGACGUUAGCGGCGGACGGGUGAGUAACACGUGGAUAACCUACCUAUAAGACUGGGAUAACUUCGGGAAACCGGAGCUAAUACCGGAUAAUAUAUUGAACCGCAUGGUUCAAUAGUGAAAGACGGUUUUGCUGUCACUUAUAGAUGGAUCCGCGCCGCAUUAGCUAGUUGGUAAGGUAACGGCUUACCAAGGCAACGAUGCGUAGCCGACCUGAGAGGAUGAUCGGCCACACUGGAACUGAGACACGGUCCAGACUCCUACGGGAGGCAGCAGUAGGGAAUCUUCCGCAAUGGGCGAAAGCCUGACGGAGCAACGCCGCGUGAGUGAUGAAGGUCUUCUGAUCGUAAAACUCUGUUAUUAGGGAAGAACAAAUGUGUAAGUAACUAUGCACGUCUUGACGGUACCUAAUCAGAAAGCCACGGCUAGCUACGUG
Molecule: ribosomal RNA, 497 nt
Filed under: uncultured bacterium
Lineage: Bacteria
Description: partial 16S ribosomal RNA
Rfam family: Bacterial small subunit ribosomal RNA
Source: RNAcentral